Molecule: ribosomal RNA, 751 nt
Filed under: uncultured bacterium
Lineage: Bacteria
Description: bacterial SSU rRNA
Rfam family: Bacterial small subunit ribosomal RNA
Source: RNAcentral
CGCGAAAGCAUGGGGAGCAAACAGGAUUAGAUACCCUGGUUAGUCCAUGCCGUAAACGAUGAGUGCUAAGUGUUAGGGGGGUUUCCGCCCCUUAGUGCUGCAGCUAACGCAUUAAGCACUCCGCCUGGGGAGUACGACCGCAAGGUUGAAACUCAAAGGAAUUGACGGGGGCCCGCACAAGCGGUGGAGCAUGUGGUUUAAUUCGAAGCAACGCGAAGAACCUUACCAGGUCUUGACAUCCAACUAACGAAGCAGAGAUGCAUUAGGUGCCCUUCGGGGAAAGUUGAGACAGGUGGUGCAUGGUUGUCGUCAACUCGUGUCGUGAGAUGUUGGGUUAAGUCCCGCAACGAGCGCAACCCUUGUGAUUAGUUGCUACGCAAGAGCACUCUAAUCAGACUGCCGUUGACAAAACGGAGGAAGGUGGGGACGACGUCAAAUCAUCAUGCCCCUUAUGACCUGGGCUACACACGUACUAUCAAUGGCCGCUCACAGAGGGAAGCAAGACCGCGAGGUGGAGCAAACCCCUAAAAACGGUCUCAGUUCGGAUCGCAGGCUGCAACCCGCCUGCGUGAAGCUGGAAUUGCUAGUAAUCGCGGAUCAUCAUGCCGCGGUGAAUACGUUCCCGGGCCUUGUACACACCGCCCGUCACACCAUGGGAGCCGGUAAUACCCGAAGUCGGUAGUCUAACCGCAAGGAGGACGCCGCCGAAGGUAGGAUUGGCGACUGGGGUGAAGUUGUAACAAGGUAACCA